UACGUAGGGUGCGAGCGUUGUCCGGAAUUACUGGGCGUAAAGAGUUCGUAGGCGGUUUGUCGCGUCGUUCGUGAAAACUUGGGGCUUAACUCCAAGCGUGCGGGCGAUACGGGCAGACUUGAGUACUACAGGGGAGACUGGAAUUCCUGGUGUAGCGGUGAGAUGCGCAGAUAUCAGGAGGAACACCGGUGGCGAAGGCGGGUCUCUGGGCAACAACUGACGCUGAGGAGCGAAAGCGUGGGGAGCGAACAGG
This 253-nucleotide ribosomal RNA is filed under the name uncultured bacterium. Its description in RNAcentral is "partial 16S ribosomal RNA". It matches the Rfam family "Bacterial small subunit ribosomal RNA", at positions 524 to 776 of the family's 1533-position model. The record is from RNAcentral.